GAGUUUGAUCAUGGCUCAGAUUGAACGCUGGCGGCAUGCCUUACACAUGCAAGUCGAACGGCAGCAUGAUCUAGCUUGCUAGAUUGAUGGCGAGUGGCGAACGGGUGAGUAAUACAUCGGAACGUGCCCUGUAGUGGGGGAUAACUAGUCGAAAGAUUAGCUAAUACCGCAUACGACCUGAGGGUGAAAGUGGGGGACCGCAAGGCCUCAUGCUAUAGGAGCGGCCGAUGUCUGAUUAGCUAGUUGGUGGGGUAAAGGCCCACCAAGGCGACGAUCAGUAGCUGGUCUGAGAGGACGAUCAGCCACACUGGGACUGAGACACGGCCCAGACUCCUACGGGAGGCAGCAGUGGGGAAUUUUGGACAAUGGGGGCAACCCUGAUCCAGCAAUGCCGCGUGUGUGAAGAAGGCCUUCGGGUUGUAAAGCACUUUUGUCCGGAAAGAAAUCGCACUUACUAAUAUUAGGUGUGGAUGACGGUACCGGAAGAAUAAGGACCGGCUAACUACGUGCCAGCAGCCGCGGUAAUACGUAGGGUCCAAGCGUUAAUCGGAAUUACUGGGCGUAAAGCGUGCGCAGGCGGUUGUGCAAGACCGAUGUGAAAUCCCCGGGCUUAACCUGGGAAUUGCAUUGGUGACUGCACGGCUAGAGUGUGUCAGAGGGGGGUAGAAUUCCACGUGUAGCAGUGAAAUGCGUAGAGAUGUGGAGGAAUACCGAUGGCGAAGGCAGCCCCCUGGGAUAACACUGACGCUCAUGCACGAAAGCGUGGGGAGCAAACAGGAUUAGAUACCCUGGUAGUCCACGCCCUAAACGAUGUCAACUAGUUGUUGGGGAUUCAUUUCCUCAGUAACGUAGCUAACGCGUGAAGUUGACCGCCUGGGGAGUACGGUCGCAAGAUUAAAACUCAAAGGAAUUGACGGGGACCCGCACAAGCGGUGGAUGAUGUGGAUUAAUUCGAUGCAACGCGAAAAACCUUACCUACCCUUGACAUGCCACUAACGAAGCAGAGAUGCAUUAGGUGCUCGAAAGAGAAAGUGGACACAGGUGCUGCAUGGCUGUCGUCAGCUCGUGUCGUGAGAUGUUGGGUUAAGUCCCGCAACGAGCGCAACCCUUGUCUCUAGUUGCUACGAAAGGGCACUCUAGAGAGACUGCCGGUGACAAACCGGAGGAAGGUGGGGAUGACGUCAAGUCCUCAUGGCCCUUAUGGGUAGGGCUUCACACGUCAUACAAUGGUGCAUACAGAGGGUUGCCAAGCCGCGAGGUGGAGCUAAUCCCAGAAAAUGCAUCGUAGUCCGGAUCGUAGUCCGCAACUCGACUACGUGAAGCUGGAAUCGCUAGUAAUCGCGGAUCAGCAUGCCGCGGUGAAUACGU
RNAcentral lists this ribosomal RNA (1368 nucleotides) under unidentified marine bacterioplankton. RNAcentral describes it as "bacterial SSU rRNA". It matches the Rfam family "Bacterial small subunit ribosomal RNA", at positions 9 to 1371 of the family's 1533-position model. The record is from RNAcentral.